AUUGAACGCUGGCGGCAGGCCUAACACAUGCAAGUCGAACGGUAACAGGGAGAUGCUUGCUUCUUUCCUGACCGGUGGGGGGCGGGAGAGCAAGGAAUGUGACACUUCGUGAGGGAGGAGGUUCGGUACUGGACACGGUUACUACUACCGCAUAACGUGGGAAAAUCAAAGAGGGGGGCCUUCGGGGCUAUCACAUUCGCCUAGGCCUAGUUGGGAUUAGCUAGUAGGUGGGGUAAAGGCUGACCUAGGCGACGAUCCGUAGCUGGUCUGAGAGGAUGAACAGUCACACUGGAACUGAGACACGGUCCAGACUCCUACGGGAGGCAGCAGUGGGGAAUAUUGGACAAUGGGCGAAAGCCUGAUGCAGCCAUGCCGCGUGUAUGAAGAAGGCCUUCGGGUUGUAAAGUACUUUCAGCGGGGAGGAAGGGAGGAAAGUUAAUACCUUUACGCAUUGACGUUACCCGCAGAAGAAGCACCGGCUAACUCCGUG
This 490-nucleotide ribosomal RNA is filed under the name uncultured bacterium. RNAcentral describes it as "partial 16S ribosomal RNA". It matches the Rfam family "Bacterial small subunit ribosomal RNA", at positions 30 to 507 of the family's 1533-position model. The record is from RNAcentral.